AAUUUUAGCUGGGAUUAUGCUGUGAUUACGUUUGGCUUAACAGUAAUGAAAAUAAGUUUAGGCUGGGUGCGGUGGCUCAUGCCUGUAAUCCCAGCACUUUAGGAGGCUGAGGCAAGCGGAUCACCUGAGGUCAGGGGUUCGAGACAAGCCUGACCAAGAUGGAGAAACCCCGUCUCUACCAAAAAUACAAAAUUAGCCGGGUGUGGUGGCGCAUGCCUGUAAUCCCAGCUACUCGGGAAGCGGAGGACAAUUGCUUGAACCCAGAAGGCAGAGGUUGUGGUGAGCCGAGAUCUCGCCAUUGCACUCCAGCCUGGACAACAAGAGCGAAACUGCAUCUCAAAACAAUAAUAAGUUUACAACCUCUGAAUAUGUACCAAAUGGAGCCAGGGGUGGGGAGUAUUAGGACAAGCCCCGCACUGCAGAGCCCCCCAGCUCUCACUCGUGGACCGAGUGCAUGGGACACAGCCAUUCGGAAAGCUCUUUCUUUUGGAGUGGGACUGGGUGUUCUGGUUUUGGUUUGCUUGUUUUAUCAUUUUGUGAUGUUGGCGCCUAUUCUUCAGUUUGCAUCCUUGCCUUGCUUGCUUGAAGCUGGAGCACAAAUGUCCCGUCACCCUGUAACAACACAAGCAUGCGUCAUGCCUGCGAGGCUUAGCUUGGGAAGUGGAAUCUCCAGGAAUCUCCUUCUGUGGUCUGUCUGCCACGUUUCGCUGUUGCUCUCAUUUCAGUCACUGAGGCCCUGUCCCUUAUCCUCCAGGGACAUGGUGCUGUCCUAUGAGCUGUGGCUCCUUUGUGACUUUUACAUUGCUCUUCCAGAUAGCAGUGGCAGUGGCAUUUGCAAAAAGGCUAUUUGAGAACAAAUAAGAAUAAAAUCAUCAAAGCGAAGAUGAUAGUAAAACAGCCCUCAUUUUUCAAAGUCCAUUCUUUUUUCUGGUCCGUGCACUGCCAGCUCACUUCUCUGGCUAAAACCCGGGGGCGGCGGGGGUGUGUGUGGGGGGGUUAGUUUUGCAGAAAGUACUGAUGGCACAGCUGUGCUCCAAGUUAACCAGAACACAAGAAUCGAAAAAGCCUGUGAGAUACUGGUGUUUGUGAUCGUAAGCUCCAGGUCGUGGGGUUUUCAGAUGAACACAAAAAGGGGGCUGCUCCCGUCCCAAGAUGAGUGAUAAAUGAGUCACUUCUCAUACUCGCACUUACACUCGCUCCAUUUCCUCUGGGAUGACUGUCUUCCGUCCUACCGCUGUAGCUGCUGUUAUUCGCCUGAUAAACUUCUUUCCCUCUCCCUCCCUCUGACACAGAAACACACACACACACACACACACACAGACACACACACACACACACACACAGCCCGCUGGAUCUAUAAGCAGUUUGUAACAGGAUGCACCAGUUCUAAUCACGUUUCAAGUCAAAUGAACCAGUCGCAGCUUCCUAAUAAGUGAAUGGCUGAUAUGAGGAGUUAAUUCAGAAGCAGCUCAAUACUAUGGACAAUACUAGUGGACAGUAUUAGCAUACUGCUCGUACAACAAAGAUACCGUAGUCUCUUGUGCUGCCUCUUCAGGACGAAUUUGCUGAAAGUGAGUUGUAAUUAGAGAUGUUAAAAAAAAACAUUGGCUGCGCGCGAUGGCUUACUCCUGUAAUCCCAGCACGUUUGGAGGCGAGGCAGGUGGAUCACCUGAGGUUAGGAGUUCGAGACCAGCCUGGCUAACAUGGCGAAACCCCAUCUCUACUAAAAAUACAAAAAAUUAGCCAGGCAUCAUGGUGGGCACCUGUAAUCUCAGCUACUUGGGAGGCUGAGGCCGAAGAAUUUCUUGAACCUGGGAGGUGGAGGUUGCAGUGACCCGAGAUCAUGCCAUUGCACUCCAGCCUGGGCAACAAGAGUGAAAUUGUGUCUCAAAUAAUAAUAAUAAACUGAGAUUUAUCAUUCCUCCUCUCUCUUUUUCCUUGAGAACUUAAUAAAAAUGGAAAAUAUCCAUU
This 1971-nucleotide long non-coding RNA is filed under the name Pan troglodytes (chimpanzee). RNAcentral's name for it is "lincRNA". The record is from RNAcentral. Lineage: Eukaryota; Metazoa; Chordata; Mammalia; Primates; Hominidae.